CAGCAGGUUGAUUCUGCCUGACGCAGAUGCUAGUUUCUAAGAUUAAGCCAUGCAUGUUUAGGGAAUAAGAACGGACAGCUCAGUAAAACUGUGAUGAUUUAGUCUAAUAGAGAAAGAGAACUUCGUGAAAAUGAAGCUAGAAGGAUUAGAAUAAGACGCAGACCUAUCAGUUAGUUGGUAGUGUAAUGGACUACCAAGACGAUGACGGGGACGGGGAAUGAGGGUUUGAUACCGGAGAGGGAGCCUGAGAGAUAGCUCCCACGUCCAAGGACGGCAGCAGGCGCGAAAAUUGCCCACUCUUAGUAGGAGGCAGUUAAGAGACGUGAAUAAGAAGAGCCAGUAAAGAGGGGUAAGUAAGAAUUGGAGGGCAAGUUUGGUGCCAGCAGCCGCGGUAAUACCGACUCCAAGAGUGUGUGAGAGAGAUGCUGCAGUUAAAAAGUCCGUAGUCGUAGAGGUAGAAAGAAUAAGGAUAUUGGAUAGGAAUAGAGGAGCC
This 493-nucleotide ribosomal RNA is filed under the name Glugoides intestinalis. RNAcentral describes it as "bacterial SSU rRNA". It matches the Rfam family "Microsporidia small subunit ribosomal RNA", at positions 1 to 506 of the family's 1311-position model. Lineage: Eukaryota; Fungi; Microsporidia; Glugeidae. The record is from RNAcentral.